RNAcentral lists this ribosomal RNA (495 nucleotides) under uncultured bacterium. Its description in RNAcentral is "partial 16S ribosomal RNA". It matches the Rfam family "Bacterial small subunit ribosomal RNA", at positions 30 to 507 of the family's 1533-position model. The record is from RNAcentral.
UGAACGCUGGCGGCAUGCCUAAUACAUGCAAGUCGAGCGAACAGACGAGGAGCUUGCUCCUCUGACGUUAGCGGCGGACGGGUGAGUAACACGUGGAUAACCUACCUAUAAGACUGGGAUAACUUCGGGAAACCGGAGCUAAUACCGGAUAAUAUAUUGAACCGCAUGGUUCAAUAGUGAAAGACGGUUUUGCUGUCACUUAUAGAUGGAUCCGCGCCGCAUUAGCUAGUUGGUAAGGUAACGGCUUACCAAGGCGACGAUGCGUAGCCGACCUGAGAGGGUGAUCGGCCACACUGGAACUGAGACACGGUCCAGACUCCUACGGGAGGCAGCAGUAGGGAAUCUUCCGCAAUGGGCGAAAGCCUGACGGAGCAACGCCGCGUGAGUGAUGAAGGUCUUCGGAUCGUAAAACUCUGUUAUUAGGGAAGAACAAAUGUGUAAGUAACUAUGCACGUCUUGACGGUACCUAAUCAGAAAGCCACGGCUAACUACGUG